Molecule: ribosomal RNA, 466 nt
Filed under: uncultured bacterium
Lineage: Bacteria
Description: partial 16S ribosomal RNA
Rfam family: Bacterial small subunit ribosomal RNA
Source: RNAcentral
GACGAACGCUGGCGGCGCGCCUAACACAUGCAAGUCGAACGAGCGAGAGAGAGCUUGCUUUCUCGAGCGAGUGGCGAACGGGUGAGUAACGCGUGAGGAACCUGCCUCAAAGAGGGGGACAACAGUUGGAAACGACUGCUAAUACCGCAUAAGCCCACGGUGCCGCAUGGCACAGAGGGAAAAGGAGCAAUCCGCUUUGAGAUGGCCUCGCGUCCGAUUAGCUAGUUGGUGGGGUAAUGGCCCACCAAGGCGACGAUCGGUAGCCGGACUGAGAGGUUGAACGGCCACAUUGGGACUGAGACACGGCCCAGACUCCUACGGGAGGCAGCAGUGGGGAAUAUUGCACAAUGGGGGAAACCCUGAUGCAGCGACGCCGCGUGGAGGAAGAAGGUCUUCGGAUUGUAAACUCCUGUUGUUGGGGAAGAUAAUGACGGUACCCAACAAGGAAGUGACGGCUAACUACGUG